GGGACAGUAGGGUAGCCUGGCCGAUCCUCGGGCGUUUGGGGCGCCUGGACUGCGGUUCGAAUCCGCGCUGUCCCA
Molecule: transfer RNA, 75 nt
Filed under: Candidatus Methanomarinus sp. HR1
Lineage: Archaea; Methanobacteriati; Methanobacteriota; Methanomicrobia; Methanosarcinales; Candidatus Methanocomedenaceae
Also listed under: 2 other names
Description: ANME-2 cluster archaeon HR1 tRNA-Pro
Source: RNAcentral